CGCGCCUCGCGCCUGCAGCCGGGAGCCGGGAUCCGGAGCUCCGGCCUGCGUGUGCGCGACUGCGGGCGGCUCGGGCGGGAAUAACCGCCUCGUCAGCUUUCGGCUGCGAGAACCGCGGCUGUGAGACGGCGCUCGUCGCGGCGGGACGGGCGCGGGAGCGCGGCAGCGUUGUUCUGCAAAUGCCGGAGUUACGCCCUCCUGGUAUUCUAGCGUGUUUUGAGCUUGAUAUUUGAGAAACGGUGUUGUGGGAUGUGAAUCACACAGCCACGGGCAAGCAUCAGAAUGAAAGGACUCAAAUGAGCAGAAAGUGCCAGGGCAGUAAUUGCAAGGAGCUGAAAUGUACAAGUAAUGACUGCAGAUACCCAACUGCUGGUUCUAUGAGAAUGAAGUUCAGUGUAAAGCAGUCACAUGCUGUCACUGUUUGGUAUAUGUAACUGUGCAUUGCUGGAAUGGGUGUACUUCUCUGUGCCUGCAGAGAGUAGCAUAUCUCACAUGAAGGUAGUCACGGAUGAGGAGCGGUUCUCUAUCAUUUUUUCCUGAGGUGUUGCUAAAGGAGAGAAGCAAAAUGGUCUAGGUAAACCUAUUAUCACCUGUUUUCCUCAAGUCAAUAAGUAUUUCCUAUUCAGGGAAAUCAAAUGCCGCUGAGAAAGAAAAUAAAGUGAACAUUUGGCUUUUGUC
Molecule: long non-coding RNA, 678 nt
Organism: Tympanuchus pallidicinctus (lesser prairie-chicken)
Lineage: Eukaryota; Metazoa; Chordata; Aves; Galliformes; Phasianidae
Exons: 3
Source: RefSeq, a predicted model, not a curated record